Molecule: long non-coding RNA, 3558 nt
Organism: Ornithodoros turicata
Lineage: Eukaryota; Metazoa; Arthropoda; Arachnida; Ixodida; Argasidae
Exons: 2
Source: RefSeq, a predicted model, not a curated record
UUGAUGCUUUCUUUUUUUUUAGGAAAGGGAGAGAGACACACGAUGACCUUCAGGCGCUCCCUGUGUGGUUCCACGGAAGAAAUGGAGCAUCGCGAGAAAGCCAAGCAUUUAACCGUGGGAAGGAUGCACCAUUGUAACUUCUGCAACUACAGCAGUCGAGUGCUGACUCACGUCAAGGACCAUGAGAGAAGGCACACGGGAGAGAAGCCUCAUUUGUGUCGAGUGUGCUCCAGGAAAUUCACGCAAACGAGUGCCUUGAACAGACAUCUCAAGACGGUCCACCGAGGCCGUAGGAAUUGUUUAAAUUCGCGCGGAGGAAUACGAGGGGGUCCGCGGCAAUGUGAUGCACCUGUGUGAGCAUCGUGGAGAAGCCCCACAGAUUCUCUGCCAGUGCAUUGGAGGAUUUGUGGUAGCCUCCAGGGCACGCAAACUGGGUGAACUGUUCAAUACUUGUGACAAUACAAUACAGUUUUGCAAUAUAUUUGUCCACGCAGCUCGCAAAACGUGGUGUUGAAAAGGUGAUGAUGAUUGGGGCGUGUAACAUUGCGUAUCCGUAGGGUUCUUUGUUUUCAGGUUAUACCCGAUUUUUCAUGAUAGUUCCCCCCGAACAAGUUUUCAAGAAUCGCGGACCUUCAACUUGUGAUUGUAGGUAAGCCGUCGGAAAAGUGAAUCAUAAUGUCAGCAAAGGGAGCUAUUUGUGUUAAACCUACUUGUCCUCCUUUUUUUAAUCCCCUCCCGCAGGAGAAAAGACAAACUUUUGUGGAGCUCGGACAUGUGUUUGAAUACCACGGCCAUUCGCUGCCCCAGUUCCGAGCGGGAAUAUCAAGGUUAUCGAUUCUCGUCCCAGUGUCACAGCCAGUGGCUUGUUUCAGAUAUGCCUUUCGUUUCACCCGAAAAUUCCCCGAUGACAUAUCAGACGGAGAUUGAAGCGCUUCAUUUCUUCCGGAGCUCUCUCGCGUAAAUAGCACCCGAUUUUUCGCUCCCAAAUUUGAAAAAUCAUAAAACCCGAAAACAGAGAACCCUACAUAUCCGGCAUGUCACAACUGACAUCCUUCGAGAUAUACCCAGGAUGUCGCACUGGCGGUCUUCAAUUAUCGUUGUCACCAGUGGCCAUUGAACAAGUAUGUAGCGCCACCGAGCAUCUAAUGCAGCAACUUCUGAAAUAGCGUUGGGCACAGGAUUCCCUGACACGCUUGGUGGCGCUAAGUGCAAGUUCAAUGCAGAGCCAUUGAUGGUGAGAGUUUGGCCAUUUUCUUAUCUUCUGCCGCCGUGAGAGGGUGGAGCCCGUUUCGAUGUUGGAACUGCCGUUGCAGCGCCUGAGAUCCCCGAAUCCAAGCAGAACCCUUCUGGAACGGAGCACUAACUGGAGAGUUUAUUGUGCCGCGAGAAACACUCGAUGGAGAUAUUUCUAAUACUGUAGGCAUUCUGUGGCUCCUAAUUUUUCUUAUUGUCUUUUCCUUCUGCCGUAAAAGGAAGUUUUUGAUGCAGAAAGAGAAACACUUGAUUGGCAGCAUGCAUGCAAGUUGACACCUUGGUGCUUAAGCCGAUACUUUCGAAGGUUGCUAACGGAUCUUAUCUAAUUAAUUAGCCACAUUGAAAAAAAGAAAGGCCAGUAACUUCAUGUUCACAUUCAGUUGGUUUGAUCUGUGGAGAGAGAAACGGUGCAUUCUUAAACGCCAGUUCAUAAAUAGUAUGACAAUCGUCGUGGGAGAAAACUUGCGACACAAUCACAUUUAGUGAACAUAUUUGCGCGAUAUACGGCCUGUUUUACCUAAGGUGACAAAAAAAUUCGAACUGGUGACGUACUCGCCAGACGAUUGUUGGACCUUCUGGAAACUUUUGCCACCAUUGAAGGAGGCUUUGGACAAUUUUUAAUUCUGGGACAUUUAUUUUUGUCAAUUGAACUUUGAAAAUUGCCAAGCGAACGUCACCUUUUUUGUACAGUAAUACGAAAUCCUCCGCAGACAACCACAGAACCAACCAAAACUAUGCGCAGUAUCGCGACAGGAAUAGUUUAAAAAAAUAGUAAAAAUUGGGCUUUAGCCCCGCCUGUUUGAUUGUCGCAAAGAAAAGCGCGCAGUAUUUGCGGGGAGAGGAGGGCGUGUUCUUCCUCUUGUUUUACCUUUCUUUGCGCCGCGUUGACCUUGAUGCUGGUGACAACUGACUUAUCGCAAAGAAUCCAAAACAAAUGAAGGCGGUGACACUUUCUUGUCUAGACGCAGAUUUUGCGCGCGCUUCAAUCAAGCACGAAAAUCAAGAAGGCGGGGCUAAAUCGUAAUUUUAAAAAAAAUUUUUUCGAGUAGUUCUGUCGUGAUGCUGCGCGUAGUUUCUGUUGGGCCUGCAGUUAUCCGUGGAGGACACGAUAUUUCUGUAAAAAAAGAAGUAAGGUUCGCUGGAAAAAAAUACGUUAUAAGAAAAUUAAAAAUUGUCCAAAGUGUCCAGUUGUCCUCAAUAGUGGCAAAAGUUUCCAGAAGAUAAAUGCCGAAAGUCCGACAAUCCUCCAGCGAGUUUCUUCGCCAGUUAUAAUUUUUUUGUCACCUUAGGUGAAGCAUCCUGUAUACUGACUCGGUUAAAUGUGGAUUAUAUAAACGACCAGGCCAAAUGAUAUGGUGAGACGGCCAUUCAAAAAUUUAUUCCGCUCAUUUUUUAUUUUCGCUUCAAGAGGACAAACAUUAUCUUGCAUCACACAUUGUCUCUUCAUGUUGAACACUUGGAACGUAGUGUGUGUAUGUUAUGGUACCUGAACAGCACACCUGCUCACUCGACAUGCAUCCACACAGUGCAGUCGUAGAAAAGUAGAUGAUGAUUACUGCUUUGAUCCAGCAUCUUUGACUACGUUGGAAUUGUGCAUGUAGCCUCGUGGUUUAGGGUUAAAUGCCGUAAAACCAGUUUUUAGGUCACUACCACCACCUGGUAAAGCCGGAAACAACCAGAGAACCAAAGUCGACAAAGUGCAAACUCGGUCACAUGUGCAGGCAGCCAGGAGGCGCCAGCUCUCUUCCACGGAAACGAGGCGUCCGGCGAUCACCUCGAGGGGCAUCGCAGGCACUUCGCCAAGGAGCAUCACAACAAGCGCUUCACCAGGGGACGGAUACACCUGUGUCGCUUCUGCCCCUACUCAAGCGACAUCACCACCAACGUCCGCGCCCACGAGAGAACGCACACCGGGGAAAAGCCGUACAUGUGUUCCGUGUGCUCCAAGGGUUUCACCCAGAGGGGGAACCUGGACACGCACAUCAGGACGAUCCACGGCGGACGGAAGAGCCGGUCGGGCCGAGGCCGGGCCGCGGUACGGCCGGACCACGAGAGGGAGGAGUCGGCCGAGAGGCCCAACAUCUGCGACCGCUGCGGAAAAGCGUUUGCGACGCAGUGGGGUCUUCAGAGACAUUUGCUCUGCCACUGAUAGCGUUUCGCAUUCUCUCGUCGGUUCACACGUGACGUGACGUUGGACGAGACGUUGAACUGUUCGUGAAAGUGAUGUGCUACUCGCGGAAUCUCCACUAGUCAAGUAUUUUUAGGGUGCGGUCGUUAGGGAGGAAUAAAUGUUGCGUGAAAGAA